Long non-coding RNA from Lemur catta (Ring-tailed lemur), 729 nucleotides. RefSeq lists it as uncharacterized. Lineage: Eukaryota; Metazoa; Chordata; Mammalia; Primates; Lemuridae. The record is from RefSeq and is a predicted model, not a curated record. The transcript is spliced from 3 exons.
UUAAGUUGUGCCCCACGGAAAGCGCCUGGCGCACGACCCCGAAGAGACCGCGGGCCCGGGUGGUACGGCUGCCACCGCCUCCCGCCUUCGGCCUGCAGGUCACUCGCGCUUCCCGGCCACCAGGCGGGCGCGGAACAUCAGUCUGCCUGCAGUGAGCUAAUCUCCCUGAACCUUGUUCACGACAUCAGGAGAUCAUAAAGCAAAAGGGUAAAUCAACAGUUCCUCUAAGACACUUUACCCAGAAGGAUUCUCCUUUCUUGCCUGUGACUGUGACAAGGACAGCGAGGGCGAACACUCCAACUGUCACUGCUGUCGCAAAAGCCAGCUUACCCUGCAGCCUCAGCUUCCUGGAUAGGUCACAGGUAGACCUGCAUAACAGAGAUGGAGGUGUUCUCCCAGGACCCAGACAGACAUCACGCAGAGGCAGCUCGUCAUGUAUCCAGCACAGUUACACUCCACGGGCUUCUGGAGAAUCCGUGAGCAACUGGAAUUAUCCUCUUUGAUGACCCAUCCAGCUGUCAAGGGCAGAACACCCUAAUGGCCUUCUCAGCCGGCUGCCUACUAACCAGCAGCUUACCCAAGAAAAGGCAAUGCUUAUUAUUUUCAACUCAUCUACAGUUUUUCAUUUACUCCUUUCUCCUGUUUUUUGCACUUUACUCCUAAUUUUGCCUCUGAUAUAUGAAAUCUCUUAUUGAUUUCCCUUUUAUACAAGUAAAUAGUAACAAUUAA